RNAcentral lists this long non-coding RNA (171 nucleotides) under Capra hircus (goat). RNAcentral's name for it is "lncRNA (ENSCHIG00000007605.1)". Lineage: Eukaryota; Metazoa; Chordata; Mammalia; Artiodactyla; Bovidae. The record is from RNAcentral.
GGGAAAUUCUGUUUUUCACCAAUGGCAGAAGGUUCUGACUCAUCUCCACCCAGACCAACAGGUUUCCUGGAGGCCUUGCUUCCCCAGACGGGGGGCUCCACCCAGUGACAGUGGACGGCCUUCUGGCUGUAGAAUCCAUCCGUCCGUGAGCACAGGCAGUGCCCAGGGUCU